Cordylochernes scorpioides is the source of this 76-nucleotide non-coding RNA. The record is from the annotation of a GenBank genome assembly. Lineage: Eukaryota; Metazoa; Arthropoda; Arachnida; Pseudoscorpiones; Chernetidae.
UGUCAAGUGAUGGGAAUCGAACCCACGACCUUCCGCUUACCGGGCAGAUGCCAUGACCACAACUUAUAAUUGUAAC